CAUCGGGGGGAUUGCCUCAGUUACGGCGAGUGAAGCGGCAAAAGCUCAAAUUUGAAAUCUAGCACUUUCAGUGUUCGAGUUGUAAUUUGAAGAAGGUAACUUUGGUUUUGGCUCUUGUCUAUGUUCCUUGGAACAGGACGUCACAGAGGGUGAGAAUCCCGUGCGAUGAGAUGCCCAAUUCCAUGUAAAGUGCUUUCGAAGAGUCGAGUUGUUUGGGAAUGCAGCUCUAAGUGGGUGGUAAAUUCCAUCUAAAGCUAAAUAUUGGCGAGAGACCGAUAGCGAACAAGUACAGUGAUGGAAAGAUGAAAAGAACUUUGAAAAGAGAGUGAAAAAGUACGUGAAAUUGUUGAAAGGGAAGGGCUUGAGAUCAGACUUGGUAUUUUGCGUUCCCUUCCUUUUUGGUUGGGUUCCUCGCAGUUUACUGGGCCAGCAUCGGUUUGGAUGGUAGGAUAAUGACAUUGGAAUGUAGCUUUACUUCGGUGAAGUGUUAUAGACUUUGUUGAUACUGCCUAUCUAGACCGAGGACUGCGUCUUUGACUAGGAUGCUGGCGUAAUGAUCUUAAGCCGCCCGUCUUGAAAAACGGAAACACAACNANAA
RNAcentral lists this ribosomal RNA (598 nucleotides) under Dujonia zeylanoides. Its description in RNAcentral is "LSU rRNA". It matches the Rfam family "Eukaryotic large subunit ribosomal RNA", at positions 66 to 664 of the family's 3401-position model. The record is from RNAcentral. Lineage: Eukaryota; Fungi; Ascomycota; Pichiomycetes; Serinales; Debaryomycetaceae.